GGGAAACUGCCUGAUGGAGGGGGAUAACUACUGGAAACGGUAGCUAAUACCGCAUAACGUCGCAAGACCAAAGAGGGGGACCUUCGGGCCUCUUGCCAUCAGAUGUGCCCAGAUGGGAUUAGCUAGUAGGUGGGGUAACGGCUCACCUAGGCGACGAUCCCUAGCUGGUCUGAGAGGAUGACCAGCCACACUGGAACUGAGACACGGUCCAGACUCCUACGGGAGGCAGCAGUGGGGAAUAUUGCACAAUGGGCGCAAGCCUGAUGCAGCCAUGCCGCGUGUAUGAAGAAGGCCUUCGGGUUGUAAAG
Molecule: ribosomal RNA, 308 nt
Filed under: Enterobacter sichuanensis
Lineage: Bacteria; Pseudomonadati; Pseudomonadota; Gammaproteobacteria; Enterobacterales; Enterobacteriaceae
Description: bacterial SSU rRNA
Rfam family: Bacterial small subunit ribosomal RNA
Source: RNAcentral